AUGUCUCUCCGUUCCUCUCCAACCCUGCCCACCUCCCUGUACCAGAGCUGUGAUCUCUCGGCAGUGGGGGGGCCCAUCUCUGCUGACCUCCUGGGUGUGGUGGAAGGAGAGGGGAUGCUGCAAUAUGUUUUCUGUGUCCCACUGUCUUGAAGCUGGGCCUGCCAAAGCCUGGGCCCACAGCUGCACUGGCAGCCCAAGGGGAAGGACCAGUUGGGGCAGCCGGGCAUGUGAGGCCCUGGGCAAGGGGAUAGGGCUGGUGGGGUGCGGCAUAGGCUUCAGAAGUAUCUGCACAAUUAGAAAAGUCCCCAGAAGCUUUUUCUUGGAGGGUACACUUUCUUCACUGUCCCUAUUCCUAGACCUGGGGCUUGAGCUGAGGAUGGGAUGAUGUGCCCAGGGAGGGACCCACGAGAGCACAAGGGAAGGUGGCCACCUGGGGGUGUCCCGGGGACUCCUGUCAGUGCCUUCAGCCCACCAGCAGGAGCUUGGAGUAUUGGGGAGUGGGGAUGAGUCCAUCAAGCACAACUGUUCUCUGAGUGGAACCAAAGAAGCAAGGAGCUAGGACCCCCAGUCCCGCCCCCCAGGAGCACAAGCAGGCUCCCCUCAGUCAAGGCAGUGGGAUGGGCCGCUGAGGAACGGGGCAGGCAAGGUCACUGCUCAGUCAUGUCCACGGGCGAUGAGCCGUGGGUUCUGCUGAGUGGGUGGAGCUCGUUGCUUUCUCCAAGCUUGGAACUGUUUUGAAAGAUAACACGGAGGGAAAGGGAGAGCCACCUGGUACUUGUCCACCCUGCCUCCUCUGUUCUGAAAUUCCAUCCCCCUCAGCUUAGGGGAAUGCAACUUUUUCCCUUUCCUUCUCACUUUUGCAUGUUUUUACUGAUCAUUCGAUAUGCUAACCGUUCUCAGCCCUGAGCCUUGGAGAGGAGGGCUGUAACGCCUUCAGUCAGUCUCUGGGGAUGAAACUCUUAAAUGCUUUGUAUAUUUUCUCAAUUAGAUCUCCUUUCAGAAGUGUCUAUAGAACAAUAAAAAUCUUUUACUUCUGA
Nomascus leucogenys (northern white-cheeked gibbon) is the source of this 1037-nucleotide RNA transcript. RefSeq lists it as uncharacterized. The transcript has a single exon. NCBI's taxonomy places the organism in Eukaryota, Metazoa, Chordata, Mammalia, Primates, Hylobatidae. The record is from RefSeq and is a predicted model, not a curated record.